UGGGGAAUAUUGGGCAAUGGACGCAAGUCUGACCCAGCAACGCCGCGUGAAGGAAGAAGGCUUUCGGGUUGUAAACUUCUUUUAAGGGGGAAGAGUAGAAGACGGUACCCCUUGAAUAAGCCACGGCUAACUACGUGCCAGCAGCCGCGGUAAUACGUAGGUGGCAAGCGUUGUCCGGAUUUACUGGGUGUAAAGGGCGUGUAGGCGGGGAGGCAAGUCAGAUGUGAAAUACCGAGGCUCAACUUCGGGGCUGCAUUUGAAACUGUCACUCUUGAGUGCCGGAGAGGAAAGCGGAAUUCCUAGUGUAGCGGUGAAAUGCGUAGAUAUUAGGAGGAACACCGGUGGCGAAGGCGGCUUUCUGGACGGUAACUGACGCUGAGGCGCGAAAGCGUGGGGA
Molecule: ribosomal RNA, 397 nt
Filed under: uncultured Oscillibacter sp.
Lineage: Bacteria; Bacillati; Bacillota; Clostridia; Eubacteriales; Oscillospiraceae
Description: bacterial SSU rRNA
Rfam family: Bacterial small subunit ribosomal RNA
Source: RNAcentral